GAUGAACGCUAGCUACAGGCUUAACACAUGCAAGUCGAGGGGAAACGAUAGAGAAAGCUUGCUUUUUCUAGGCGUCGACCGGCGCACGGGUGAGUAACGCGUAUCCAACCUGCCCACCACUUGGGGAUAACCUUGCGAAAGUAAGACUAAUACCCAAUGAUAUCUCAAGAAGACAUCUGAAUGAGAUUAAAGAUUUAUCGGUGAUGGAUGGGGAUGCGUCUGAUUAGCUUGUUGGCGGGGUAACGGCCCACCAAGGCGACGAUCAGUAGGGGUUCUGAGAGGAAGGUCCCCCACAGUGGAAAUGAGACACGGUCCAAACUCCUACGGGAGGCAGCAGUGAGGAAUAUUGGUCAAUGGGCGAGAGCCUGAACCAGCCAAGUAGCGUGCAGGAUGACGGCCCUAUGGGUUGUAAACUGCUUUUAUAAGGGAAUAAAGUGAGCCUCGUGAGGCUUUUUGCAUGUACCUUAUGAAUAAGGACCGGCUAAUUCCGUGCCAGCCGCCGCCGUAA
This 508-nucleotide ribosomal RNA is filed under the name uncultured bacterium. RNAcentral's name for it is "partial 16S ribosomal RNA". It matches the Rfam family "Bacterial small subunit ribosomal RNA", at positions 28 to 523 of the family's 1533-position model. The record is from RNAcentral.